Molecule: ribosomal RNA, 477 nt
Filed under: uncultured bacterium
Lineage: Bacteria
Description: partial 16S ribosomal RNA
Rfam family: Bacterial small subunit ribosomal RNA
Source: RNAcentral
GAUGAACGCUAGCGGCAGGCCUAACACAUGCAAGUCGAGGGGUAGAAGGAGCUUGCUCCUUUGAGACCGGCGCACGGGUGCGUAACGCGUAUGCAAUCUACCUUGUACAGGGGAAUAGCCCAGAGAAAUUUGGAUUAAUGCCCCAUAGUAUAUAACCUUCGCAUGUUGGUUAUAUUAAAGUUCCAACGGUACAAGAUGAGCAUGCGUCCCAUUAGUUAGUUGGUAAGGUAACGGCUUACCAAGACGAUGAUGGGUAGGGGUCCUGAGAGGGAGAUCCCCCACACUGGUACUGAGACACGGACCAGACUCCUACGGGAGGCAGCAGUGAGGAAUAUUGGUCAAUGGUCGCAAGACUGAACCAGCCAUGCCGCGUGCAGGAAGACGGUCCUAUGGAUUGUAAACUGCUUUUAUACAGGAAGAAACCCUCCCACGUGUGGGAGCUUGACGGUACUGUAGGAAUAAGGAUCGGCUAACUCC